This 275-nucleotide long non-coding RNA is filed under the name Gallus gallus (chicken). Lineage: Eukaryota; Metazoa; Chordata; Aves; Galliformes; Phasianidae. The record is from RNAcentral.
AGCAUGGCUCCAGAGCCCUGAGAAGCAGCAAAACCUCUCCUGGAGCUGGAUGGAGCAGGUUAUUCCCAAGAUUUAAGAUCAAUGGGCAGAAACCCCUGGAAAAAAACCUGAAAUAGGAAGGAGAGCUGAUGGGCAGGGAUGUGUGUACCUUACCUUUGCAGGACAGACAGCCUGGGUGUUCCCACCACAAUCUCUUUGCUGCUCCACACUCCAUCAGAGCCCUGCAACCAAACAAGAGGAGUGAAGAGAGGAUUUGUGGUUAUCACAGUGGCAGC